AUUGAACGCUGGCGGCAUGCUUUACACAUGCAAGUCGAACGGCAGCGCGGGCUUCGGCCUGGCGGCGAGUGGCGAACGGGUGAGUAAUACAUCGGAACGUGCCCAGUAGUGGGGGAUGGCUCGGCGAAGGCCGGAUUAAUACCGCAUACGACCUGAGGGUGAAAGCGGGGGAUCUUCGGACCUCGCGCUAUUGGAGCGGCCGAUGGCAGAUUAGCUAGUUGGUGGGGUAAAGGCCUACCAAGGCGACGAUCUGUAGCUGGUCUGAGAGGACGACCAGCCACACUGGGACUGAGACACGGCCCAGACUCCUACGGGAGGCAGCAGUGGGGAAUUUUGGACAAUGGGCGAAAGCCUGAUCCAGCAAUGCCGCGUGUGUGAUGAAGGCCUUCGGGUUGUAAAGCACUUUUGGCGGGAACGAAAAGGACUGUGCCAAUACCACGGUUCGAUGACGGUACCCGCAGAAUAAGCACCGGCUAACUACGUG
This 484-nucleotide ribosomal RNA is filed under the name uncultured bacterium. RNAcentral describes it as "partial 16S ribosomal RNA". It matches the Rfam family "Bacterial small subunit ribosomal RNA", at positions 29 to 507 of the family's 1533-position model. The record is from RNAcentral.